Molecule: small nucleolar RNA, 107 nt
Filed under: Oryza rufipogon (brownbeard rice)
Lineage: Eukaryota; Viridiplantae; Streptophyta; Magnoliopsida; Poales; Poaceae
Description: Plant small nucleolar RNA R71
Rfam family: Plant small nucleolar RNA R71
About the family: R71 is a member of the C/D box family of snoRNAs containing the C (UGAUGA) and D (CUGA) box motifs. Multiple nearly identical copies of this snoRNA have been identified in Arabidopsis, and it is thought to function as a 2'-O-ribose methylation guide for 18S ribosomal RNA.
Source: Rfam by way of RNAcentral
AUCCCAUGAUGAGGACAGGCAGCCAUGUGCUCCUGCAGUCGUUCCCAUGCUUCUGGAACAGACUAGUCCCUUGUCUGCUGGAAACUGGAAAUUCGUCCAUGAAGGGC